This 2022-nucleotide ribosomal RNA is filed under the name Triticum aestivum (bread wheat). RNAcentral describes it as "partial small subunit ribosomal RNA". Lineage: Eukaryota; Viridiplantae; Streptophyta; Magnoliopsida; Poales; Poaceae. The record is from RNAcentral.
AUGUUUCCUCUUGGAGCCAGGCCGCCUCCUCCUAGCGCCAUGGACCGCCAUCACCACCAGCAGCCGCCGUCGCCGCAGGGGGAGCAUGCCGCCCAGCCACGCUGCUGGGAGGAGUUCCUCCACAGGAAGACCAUCAGGGUGCUGCUCGUGGAGACCGACGACUCCACCCGGCAGGUCGUCACCGCCCUGCUCCGCCACUGCAUGUACCAAGUUAUCCCUGCUGAAAACGGCCACCAGGCGUGGGCGUAUCUUCAGGACAUGCAGAGCAACAUCGACCUUGUUCUGACAGAGGUCUUCAUGCACGGCGGUCUCUCUGGGAUCGACCUGCUCGGCAGGAUCAUGAACCACGAGGUCUGCAAGGACAUCCCCGUCAUCAUGAUGUCGUCGCACGAUUCGAUGGGCACGGUCCUCAGCUGCCUGUCAAAUGGUGCCGCCGACUUCUUGGCCAAGCCGAUUCGUAAGAACGAGCUUAAGAACCUUUGGGCGCAUGUGUGGAGACGGUCUCACAGCUCCAGUGGCAGUGGCAGUGGAAGUGCCAUUCAGACACAGAAGUGUACCAAAUCUAAGAGUGGCGAUGAUUCCAAUAAUAACAGCAAUAAUCGCAACGACGAUGCCAGCAUGGGGCUCAAUGCAAGGGAUGGCAGCGAUAAUGGCAGUGGCACUCAGAGCUCAUGGACAAAGCGUGCCGUUGAGAUCGACAGUCCGCAGGACAUGUCUCCAGAUCAGUCAGUUGAUCCGCCUGAUAGCACUUGCGCGCAUGUGAGCCACCUGAAGUCAGAGAUAUGCAGCAAUAGAUUAAGAGGUACAAAUAACAAAAAAUGCCAGAAACCAAAAGAAACUAAUGCUGAGUUCAAAGGGAAGGAGUUGGAGAUAGGUGCCCCUGGUAAUUUGAAUACAGAGGAUCAAUCCUCCCCGAAUGAGAGUUCGGUCAAACCAGCUGAUAAUGGACGGUGUGAGUAUCUGCCACAGAACAAUUCCAAUGAUACAGUUAUGGAAAAUUCGGAUGAGCCAAUUGUUCGAGCUGCUGACCUAAUCGGUUCGAUGGCCAAAAACAUGGACGCCCAACAGGCAGCUAGAGCCAUAGAUGCUCCUAACUGCUCCUCACAAGCGCCGCAAGGGAAAGACACGGACCGUGAAAACGCCAUGCCGUAUCUUGAACUGAGCCUGAAGAGGUCGAGAUCGACCGCGGACGGAGCGGAUGCUGCGAUCCAGGAGGAACAGAGGAACGUCGUGAGACGAUCGGACCUCUCGGCAUUCACGAGGUACAAUACGUGCGCGGUCUCCAAUCAAGGCGGUGCAGGGUUCGUCGGGAGCUGCUCGCCCAACGGCAACAGCUCCGAGGCCGCGAAAACGGACGCCGCUCAGAUGAAGCAAGGCUCCAACGGCAGCAGCAACAACAACGACAUGGGCUCCACCACCAAGAGCGUGGUGACCAAGCCCGCCGGCGGAAAUAAUAAGGUUUCGCCCAUCAACGGCAACACACAUACCUCGGCGUUCCAUCGUGUGCAGCCGUGGACGCCGGCAACAGCAGCAGGGAAAGACAAGGCUGAUGAAAUGAGCAAGAAGAAUGCUGCAACAGCAGCAGCGGCGAAAGACAAUGGUGGUGAAGCACAGAGCAAACGCCCCUGUGCAGCGGCCCAUGACACGAAUGGUGGAUCAUCGGCAGGAGGCACUGCUCAGUCCAAUGUGGUCAAUCCUUCGGGUCCGGUUGAAGGUCAUGCUGCCAACUAUGGUAGCAACUCUGGCAGUAAUAACAACACCAACAAUGGGAGCACCGCAGCUACUGCUGCUGCUGCUGUACAUGCUGAGACCGGUGGCAUCGACAAAAGAAGCAACAUGAUGCACAUGAAACGGGAGCGCCGGGUGGCCGCCGUGAACAAGUUCAGAGAGAAGAGAAAAGAGAGGAACUUCGGGAAGAAGGUGCGUUACCAGAGCAGGAAGAGACUGGCCGAGCAGCGCCCGCGGGUGCGCGGGCAGUUCGUGCGGCUGCCGUUGAGAGAUAACCUCCCGCCACACACCUAG